AAUUUGCCUACUCCGCAUUCAGGUCACAGGAACGUGACCCGUUAUCCGCGGUCCGCGUUAGAUAUUACUAAUUUUAUAUGGUAUGCAUACCGCCAUUGAUUGAUUAUCUUUAUAGACUUGAUUUUUUUUCUUGCUUCUUUAUUUUUAAUUAUUUCACGUCGUGGAGCUUUUUGUUUCUGAAAGGAAAUGAUACAUUACAUUGUUAUUUGUGUUUGGAUUGUUGAUUUAUUGAUUGGAAUGAAAAUGGAUUUGGUUGGAAUUGUUUGAAGAUUGCUGUUGUGAUAAUUGGUUCAGGGAUAUGUACACCUCGUCCGUCUUUCU
RNAcentral lists this ribosomal RNA (321 nucleotides) under Angulitermes sp. NFP-274. RNAcentral describes it as "partial 12S ribosomal RNA". Lineage: Eukaryota; Metazoa; Arthropoda; Insecta; Blattodea; Termitidae. The record is from RNAcentral.